CAACUGGAGCGUGUCUACCAAAGGAUCGAUGUACUGCAGUUGUCAACAUUGCUAGGAAACAUGAUCUUUUGGUUGUUUGUGAUGAUGUCUACAAUUUAUUGUAUUUCUCAGACGGACGCUUUCCUCGUCUAUUUUCAUAUGACAGAAAGUAUUUCUUAUGAUAUCUAGUAUUGUGUGAUGCUGGUGCUAUGGAUUGUAGGGAUGACAUACAUUACAAGGGAAAUAUCGUGUCUAAUGGCUCUUUCUCGAAAAUCUUUGGCCCUGGACCUCGUGUUGGCUGGAUUGAAGGCCCUCCUCGUGUGAUCAGUCACCUUAAGACAUGUGGAAUAUCUGGUGUUUUGGCAAGCCACUGUAUGUCUGGUGUUAUGGAACAAGCUAUAAAACUUGGUUUGCAGGAUCAAUGUCUGACUGAAGCGCGAGCAUUUUACAAGAAAAAUGCCUCUGCAAUGACUCAAUUGCUCAAAGAACUUCUUCCACCUUCUGUGCAUUUUACAAAGCCUCAGGGACUUAAUUGAAAUAGACAAAGGAGGGUAUUUUGUGUGGAUUACGUUGCCUGAAUAUGUUACUGCUGAAGAGCUUCUUGAAGUUUGCAAAAAUGAAUAUGGAGUUACAUUCAAACCUGGUCGUAGGUUUAGUUGUCGUGGAGCGUUUGGAAACUGCCUACGAAUCUCUUUCAGCAACAUGCCAGAAGAUGAGCUCGUAAACCAUACAAGAAGACUCGCUACUGCAAUUAAUGCAAUUUUGAAGCCAUCUCAUCUUGUUGACGUUUUGUGCAGUUGAAGAAAGAUGAAAUUCAAAUGAACUUCAUCAAAUUAUGGACUAGCAAGGAAUUUUGUGAUAUUGUGAGAGCUGGAGUAGUUGAAUUUUAUGUAUCUGAUGAUAUUUGGGUUUUCGGCACUAAUAAUAAGUUUAAUUAAUUAAUCUUGGGUUAUAAUAUAGUUGAAUCAGCACACUGUA
Long non-coding RNA from Corticium candelabrum, 957 nucleotides. RefSeq lists it as uncharacterized. The transcript is spliced from 7 exons. The record is from RefSeq and is a predicted model, not a curated record. NCBI's taxonomy places the organism in Eukaryota, Metazoa, Porifera, Homoscleromorpha, Homosclerophorida, Plakinidae.